Molecule: ribosomal RNA, 960 nt
Filed under: Chloroflexota bacterium
Lineage: Bacteria; Bacillati; Chloroflexota
Description: bacterial SSU rRNA
Rfam family: Bacterial small subunit ribosomal RNA
Source: RNAcentral
UUGUUGGAGAGUUUGAUCCUGGCUCAGGAUAAACGCUGGCGGCGUGCCUAAUGCAUGCAAGUCGCGCGUCGAAACCGGCUUCGGCCGGUGGAAAGCGGCGGACGGGUGAGUAACACGUAGGAACCUGCCCGGAAGUGGGGGACAACCCCGGGAAACCGGGGCUAAUACCGCAUACGGUCCACGGACCAAAGCCCUCGGGCGCUUCCGGAGGGGCCUGCGGCGGAUUAGCUGGUUGGUGGGGUAACGGCCUACCAAGGCGACGAUCCGUAGCUGGUCUGAGAGGACGGUCAGCCACACUGGGACUGAGAUACGGCCCAGACUCCUACGGGAGGCAGCAGCAAGGAAUUUUCCGCAAUGGGCGCAAGCCUGACGGAGCAACGCCGCGUGGGGGAAGAAGGCUUUCGAGUUGUAAACCCCUUUUGCGAGGGAAGAAGAUCUGACGGUACCUCGCGAAUAAGCCACGGCUAACUACGUGCCAGCAGCCGCGGUAAUACGUAGGUGGCAAGCGUUGUCCGGAUUCACUGGGCGUAAAGCGCGCGCAGGCGGGCUGAUAAGUCCCGGGUUAAAUUCCACGGCUCAACCGUGGGCAGCCCCGGGAUACUGUCAGUCUAGAGGCAUUCAGAGGAGAGUGGAAUUCCCGGUGUAGUGGUGGAAUGCGUAGAUAUCGGGAGGAACACCAGUGGCGAAAGCGACUCUCUGGGGAUGUCCUGACGCUGAGGCGCGAAAGCGUGGGGAGCGAACCGGAUUAGAUACCCGGGUAGUCCACGCCGUAAACGAUGAGUACUAGCUGUCGGGGGUGUCGACUCCUUCGGUAGCGCAGCUAACGCGUUAAGUACUCCGCCUGGGGACUACGGCCGCAAGGCUAAAACUCAAAGGAAUUGACGGGGGCCCGCACAAGCAGCGGAGCGUGCGGUUUAAUUCGAAGCUACGCGAAGAACCUUACCAGGGCUUGACAUGCUA